RNAcentral lists this transfer RNA (228 nucleotides) under Fagus orientalis. Its description in RNAcentral is "Fagus sylvatica subsp. orientalis partial tRNA-Leu". The record is from RNAcentral. Lineage: Eukaryota; Viridiplantae; Streptophyta; Magnoliopsida; Fagales; Fagaceae.
AAAUCCGUCGACUUUAGAAAUCGUGAGGGUUCAAGUCCCUCUAUCCCCAAAAAGGCCCGUUUGACUCCCUAAUUAUUUAUCCGAUCUUCUCUUUUCGUUUUGUUAGCGUUUUCAAAUUGGAAUUCGUUAUGUUUUUCAAUCAUUCUACUCUUUUACAAAUGGAUCUGAUUGUAAAUCUUUUUUUCUUAUUAAUUGACAUAAACUCAAGUUAUCUAUUAAAAUAAGGAU